GCUUAGCCCUAAACACAGAUAUUCUAAUACACCAAUAUCCGCCAGAGAACUACAAGCGAAAAGCUAGAAACUCCAAGGACUUGGCGGUGCUUCAAACCAACCUAGAGGAGCCUGUCCUAUAAUCGAUAUUCCACGUUCUACCUUACCCCCCUUAGCCUUCAGCCUAUAUACCGCCGUCGUCAGCCUACCUUAUGAAAGAAACAAAGUAAGCAAAAUAGUUAAUAACUAAAACGUCAGGUCAAGGUGUAGCACAUGGGCGGGCAGAGAUGGGCUACAUUUUCAAAACGAACACACGGAUAAUAUGUUGAAACACAUAUUUGAAGGUGGAUUUAGUAGUAAAAUAACAAAGAAAACCUUAUUGAAACUUGCUCUGAAGCGCGC
Molecule: ribosomal RNA, 381 nt
Filed under: Papuascincus sp.
Lineage: Eukaryota; Metazoa; Chordata; Lepidosauria; Squamata; Scincidae
Description: partial small subunit ribosomal RNA
Rfam family: Bacterial small subunit ribosomal RNA
Source: RNAcentral